This 279-nucleotide ribosomal RNA is filed under the name uncultured Lactobacillus sp. RNAcentral describes it as "partial 16S ribosomal RNA". It matches the Rfam family "Bacterial small subunit ribosomal RNA", at positions 505 to 783 of the family's 1533-position model. The record is from RNAcentral. Lineage: Bacteria; Bacillati; Bacillota; Bacilli; Lactobacillales; Lactobacillaceae.
GUGCCAGCCGCUGCGGUAAUACGUAGGUGGCAAGCGUUAUCCGGAUUUAUUGGGCGUAAAGCGAGCGCAGGCGGUUUUUUAAGUCUGAUGUGAAAGCCCUUGGCUCAACCAAGGAAGUGCAUCGGAAACUGGAAAACUUGAGUGCAGAAGAGGACAGUGGAACUCCAUGUGUAGCGGUGAAAUGCGUAGAUAUAUGGAAGAACACCAGUGGCGAAGGCGGCUGUCUGGUCUGUAACUGACGCUGAGCUCGAAAGCAGUGGGUAGCGAACAGGAUUAGAU